CAAAUCUCGCGGUUGAAAGUCAAAAAUGGAAGGAACUGGACGAGCCUUGCGGGUUUCUGUACGGCUGCGAAAUGGAGUCCCUGCCAGCUGUUUCUGCGUGUCUUCAGUUCACAUUAUCUUCCUUCAGUGAACAUGUGCCCAAGGACAGUUGGGAACACUUGAAAUGAACCAGCAAUGAAAAUCAAAUAGAAGCUGUUUCCAAAAUAUACUUGUGAGAGCUGUAUAACUUCAAAUGUUGCUGUGAAAUUUGUAUUGCUCACCUAGACUGCAAUGCAUGUGAGGAAAAGAGCAACCAUCUAGCAGUGUUGAUGAAACUGAUAAGAAUUAGCUCAAAAUAACUCCCAAACUCCAUACUUAUCUAAGUAAGAAUGGAGCCAAGAAUGUGUUUGUCACAUGGGUUAUAUGUGAAACCAUUCAGAAAAUAACUCUUGUUUACAUAAUGAUUUUAAACCAGAUAUGCUGUUUCUCUUCAGUGAAGAAAUCGUAGGGUAACGAAGUCUCUAUUAUAACAUUUUGUACCCUUGAUUGUGUAAGAAUCCAUCAGGUUCCCUAUUAAUCAUGUCAAAAUUGCAUUUGUAUGGCAUAUAUACCACCUAUUUAAACAACUGUCAUGAGAUUCCCUUUAGACUAGGUGCUGGUUUCUCCACUGAGAUAUAUAGGCUUGAUCAAACAGAUGCACAGUGCUAUCUUGGUAGUGGGAGUGUUCAAGGAAUCAACCAGCCACUAUGCUGACAUAUCUUAGAAAUACAUAGCACCACUCUGAUACUGCUUCACCAUCAUGAAACCUUUGCACUACUGAGGGAAGAGGUGGGCCCAAGGGGGUGGCAUGAGUUAUAUGGUUCCUUCCAGCUGUCCCAACCUGGGAAACACCAUCAAAACCUGCAGUGUAGGCACCCAUAUGAUGAAAAAUGCCCCUUAUAGGCACGGUCCUGUCUACAAGCCCUAGUGUGACACAACGUCAAAUGCAACUACAACCAAUCAUACUCCUCCCCAGAAAAGGUCAAACCCCCUACUCUGCACCAAAUCACCCCCCCACCCUGCUAUGGAAACCUGAGCCAGGGUACCCCACAGCACAGAGGAUAAGGCAGGCAGUAUGGGACUCUGGCAAGUCCACAGGCAUGCUGAACUAGGGAGGGCUCACCCCAUCCCCCCAUGGCUUCCUGGAGCAGUUAUCAAAGACCACACUGGAUACCUUGUCACUUUUUCUCCACUGAUGUUCAAUAAAAUCUGGACUGAUUUA
This is a long non-coding RNA of Sphaerodactylus townsendi, 1240 nucleotides long. RefSeq lists it as uncharacterized. Lineage: Eukaryota; Metazoa; Chordata; Lepidosauria; Squamata; Sphaerodactylidae. The record is from RefSeq and is a predicted model, not a curated record. The transcript is spliced from 2 exons.